GGGCAUCUGGCGCAGUGGUAGCGCGUCCGCUUUGCAUCUUGCAAGCUUGCGGAAGGUCUAGGGUUCGAUCCCCUAGUUGUCCA
Didymella sp. IMI 355093 is the source of this 83-nucleotide non-coding RNA. Lineage: Eukaryota; Fungi; Ascomycota; Dothideomycetes; Pleosporales; Didymellaceae. The record is from the annotation of a GenBank genome assembly.